RNAcentral lists this ribosomal RNA (253 nucleotides) under uncultured bacterium. RNAcentral describes it as "partial 16S ribosomal RNA". It matches the Rfam family "Bacterial small subunit ribosomal RNA", at positions 524 to 776 of the family's 1533-position model. The record is from RNAcentral.
UACGAAGGGGGCUAGCGUUGCUCGGAAUCACUGGGCGUAAAGCGCACGUAGGCGGAUUGCUAAGUCAGGGGUGAAAUCCUGGAGCUCAACUCCAGAACUGCCCUUGAUACUGGCGGUCUCGGGUCCGGGAGAGGUGAGUGGAACUGCGAGUGUAGAGGUGAAAUUCGUAGAUAUUCGCAAGAACACCAGUGGCGAAGGCGGCUCACUGGCCCGGUACUGACGCUGAGGUGCGAAAGCGUGGGGAGCAAACAGG